CCCUUAGAUGUUCUGGGCCGCACGCGUGCUACACUGAGUGGAUCAGCGGGUCAGGUUGCGCGAAAGUGUUUCCUAAUCUUGAAAUCCGCUCGUGAUGGGGAUUGACGGUUGCAAUUUUCCGUCAUGAACGAGGAAUACCUUGUAAGCGCGGGUCAUCAUCCCGCGCUGAAUACGUCCCUGCCCUUUGUACACACCGCCCGUCGCUACUACCGAUUGAAUGGUUUAGUGAGAUCUUCGGAUUGGCGCCAUCGUGGCUUCGCGGCCAUGACGGAUGGCCGAAAAGUUGAUCAAACUUGAUCAUUUAGAGGAAGUAAAAGUCGUAACA
Molecule: ribosomal RNA, 325 nt
Filed under: uncultured eukaryote
Lineage: Eukaryota
Description: partial 18S ribosomal RNA
Rfam family: Eukaryotic small subunit ribosomal RNA
Source: RNAcentral